UAGGGAAUUUUCGUUCAAUGGGGGGCGAACCCCUGAACGAGCAAUGCCGCGUGAGCGAAGAAGGUCUUCGGAUUGUAAAGCUCUGUUGCCGGGGAAAAAGGAAGGAAAGAGGAAAUGCUUUUCUUUGGAUGGUACCCGGCCAGAAGUCACGGCUAACUACGUGCCAGCAGCCGC
Molecule: ribosomal RNA, 174 nt
Filed under: uncultured bacterium
Lineage: Bacteria
Description: partial 16S ribosomal RNA
Rfam family: Bacterial small subunit ribosomal RNA
Source: RNAcentral